UGGCUGUCUGCAACAAGUAAGACUGAUUGC
RNAcentral lists this non-coding RNA (30 nucleotides) under Homo sapiens (human). Lineage: Eukaryota; Metazoa; Chordata; Mammalia; Primates; Hominidae. The record is from RNAcentral.